Molecule: ribosomal RNA, 468 nt
Filed under: uncultured bacterium
Lineage: Bacteria
Description: partial 16S ribosomal RNA
Rfam family: Bacterial small subunit ribosomal RNA
Source: RNAcentral
GACGAACGCUGGCGGCGUGCUUAACACAUGCAAGUCGAACGGAAAGGCCCUGCUUUUGUGGGGUGCUCGAGUGGCGAACGGGUGAGUAACACGUGAGUAACCUGCCCUUGACUUUGGGAUAACUUCAGGAAACUGGGGCUAAUACCGGAUAGGAGCUCCUGCUGCAUGGUGGGGGUUGGAAAGUUUCGGCGGUUGGGGAUGGACUCGCGGCUUAUCAGCUUGUUGGUGGGGUAGUGGCUUACCAAGGCUUUGACGGGUAGCCGGCCUGAGAGGGUGACCGGCCACAUGGGGACUGAGAGACGCCCCAGACCCCGAGGGGAGGCAGCAGGGGGAAAUAUGGCACAGGGGGCGGAAGCCUUAUGCAGCAACGCCGGGUGGGGGAUGACGGCCUUCGGGUUGAAACCCCUUUCCGCCUGGGACGAAGGGGGAGUGAGGGUAAGGGGUAAAGAAGCACCGGCUAACUACGUC